UACAGAGGUCUCAAGCGUUGUUCGGAUUCAUUGGGCGUAAAGCGCACGUAGGCGGCCUGUUAAGUCGGGUGUGAAAGCCCUGGGCUCAACCCAGGAAGUGCACUCGAAACUGGCAGGCUUGAAUAUGGAAGAGGGUCGCGGAAUUCCCGGUGUAGAGGUGAAAUUCGUAGAUAUCGGGAGGAACACCGGUGGCGAAGGCGGCGACCUGGGACGAUACUGACGCUGAGGUGCGAAAGCGUGGGGAGCAAACAGG
Molecule: ribosomal RNA, 253 nt
Filed under: uncultured bacterium
Lineage: Bacteria
Description: partial 16S ribosomal RNA
Rfam family: Bacterial small subunit ribosomal RNA
Source: RNAcentral